This is a small nuclear RNA of Colobus angolensis palliatus, 102 nucleotides long. Lineage: Eukaryota; Metazoa; Chordata; Mammalia; Primates; Cercopithecidae. The record is from Ensembl.
CUGCUUUAGCAACAUAUAUAUUAAAAUUGGAACAAUACUACGAAUAUUAGCAUAUCCGUGUGCAAGGAUGACAUGCAAAUUUAUGAAGCAUUAUAUAUACAU